UGAGACCAUUGCUCCUUGUUCUGUCAUCUGCCACCACUGAGAACACUCCAGGUCCAUCCUCUUUAGAACCAGCCUUCAGUGGUGGGUCUAGCCUUCAACCCACUGACCAACAAAGUGGAAGCAGUCACUCCAGGUAUGUAACAGAAAGAUUCCAGACUAGGAACAAUGAAGUGAAUCUCAAGGCAUUCUAGUGAUCCUAUAUGCCUUAGUUACUGCAUCUGUUUUGACCAGUGAAUUUUACAGAUUAAACUUUUCUCUUAUUUGAGGUGCUUUUGCAAUUACUAUUCAAGAGUUUAUAGCUGUUAGUUUUCAGUCAGAUGAGUGAACCUUUGGUUUGGAAACUGUUCUGUCAGGAGGUGGUCUGGGUCCAGAUCUUGCUUUGGUCAUGCUUCUUCUGUGACCCGGGGCAAGUCAUUGCCUUCAUUUGCCCAUCUUUGAAAUGGCAGCUACCUCUAAGGAAAUUUGUGAACAUAUGUGAAAGAUCUCACUCAUAUGCUCUCAAAAAAUGUAGCACUCUAGACAGCCUGGAGGGAAAACUCCUGACUCCUUCAAAAGUCACCCUGAACCUAGUGGUUAACAAACACACUAAAUUCUGUAGCCAGCAGCACACAAGGGAAUGGUGGGGCCACUGUUACAUCCAGGCUCUUUUGACUCCCUGGCCUGAACAACUAGUCAACCAACAGCUGGGGUUGCCUUCUCUGCAAGUCUGGAGCCCUAAUGAGAUGCCUCAGCCACUCUGCCCCUGUGGCGCUCAGACAGCAUGGAACCACAUCUUGAAACCCCAGCAGGGUUGAUUCAGGCUUCUGUUCUGCUGAGGUUGGCAAACAAGGCAGUUUAUCAUGUCCUCAUCUUCAAGGCAAGACCUCCAAAACCUCAGUUGUCUGUUUGUCACAGGUGCCUAAGUACCUAUGGAAAGCUUUUUGGAAGAGGAGGGGUUUGCCCCAGUGGCCUGAGACCAGCUUUCUCCUUAUCCCCUAGUGCUGUGCAGUGUGCAGACUGCUCAGCUGUUGUUCACCCCUGGAGAGCUCCAGUAGUCUGAAAUGAACCCCAUGCUUGACUCUACCUGACCUGGAAGGGCAUGUUUUAUCAAGCUCACACCUGGGCAAGCACAGUCCACCAUCCUGUUUGGAAUCCCCUGCAGUUCAUAUGCUAGAAUGGAGAGAUUUACAUUUUCAAAUGUGCUUGGCCCUAAACAGAAACCCCACAUACCUUCCUCUCCUGGCUUCCCAGUGGACCAGCCCAAAUCAGCCAAGCUCAAGGAAGGAGCAAGAAAAUGUUGGGGAAUGGGUGUGCACCCAUAUAUCUUUGUUAGUGGUGAUGCGCUGUUCAAUGAUAGCCACAAUUCAGAAACAUGAAAUAGCUCCUGCCUCUUUUAGUCAGUUGGAUUUGCCUCUGUCACAAGAACUGAUAUAGUGGACACCUGCUUCCACCUGUUUCACUUUUUACAUCUUGUUCAUAUCUGCAGAUCAACGUGUAACUUCCAGCCACUAGCACCUUCCUUUUGAAUUUGGCUUUUAGAGGUCAAGGAUAGGCUUAUUGUAACCCACACUGUGGAGGUUCACAGCAGCCUAAUGGGAUAGGUAACUAAACAGAAAACAUAAGGAAGUGACCAAGUAUGUCACCUCCUACUUUAAAUAGGCAUCAUUUCCAGGUUGCAGGAACUAUAGGAGGUUGUAAUUGAAUUUCCCUUUUGAGUCAGGCUCAAUUAUACUAACUUACUGUGUGUAAGUUCAACUACUGUAUGUGUCCCCUCUGGAUUUGUUCUGUAGCAUCUCUAGCUGUGUGAGGAUAAACUUUAACCUCCUCACACUAGUUUGCACUCUGUGCUUUGAAAGUUUCCUGUAAAGUAUAGUAUUAAUACCAUGUUUACUCAAAUAUAA
Molecule: long non-coding RNA, 1880 nt
Organism: Gavialis gangeticus (Gharial)
Lineage: Eukaryota; Metazoa; Chordata; Crocodylia; Gavialidae
Exons: 2
Source: RefSeq, a predicted model, not a curated record